RNAcentral lists this long non-coding RNA (644 nucleotides) under Bos taurus (domestic cattle). RNAcentral describes it as "long non-coding RNA NONBTAT022896". The record is from RNAcentral. Lineage: Eukaryota; Metazoa; Chordata; Mammalia; Artiodactyla; Bovidae.
AGCAUUCAUACUUAAUUCGCUGAACAAUAAGAAAUCGCUGAUUAGGUUUUUAGUUGUGACUCAAUCAGGAUUUGCUCAAGACCGAGUUACUCCAGAGAAGAUGGACUAAGUUAAGGGACCAGCAGCAGGGAAAACCAGACACCAAAUGAAAGGGGGUUAACCACGGUGGGAGUGUUGUUAAAGAGAGAAAAGAGGAUGGAUCACCCUACAGAGGAGGACCAACCCUUGGGGGAGCCUUGGACAUAAAAACAGGCAGCGUUGUCUACUCUGGGCUUCAAAUCCGGAAAGAGAUGUGCAUUCCAAAAAUUAGGAGAAGAGUUCGAAGAAACUCUUUUUGUUUUAAUGGGGAGACAAAUUUAAUGACAGACUAGGCUUGACACACAAAAAUUUCUAGGGACUGGCUAGGGAGAACCUAAAAAUCAAAACAAAUUAGAUCAGGAAAGGAUUUGGCGCUGUUUGCUCCACCCAGAGGUGGUGGCAGAGGCCCCAGGAGCUGAUCAACUUGAAAGCUUACAGAUGACUAAGUAACAACUCAGACCCUUUCGCGUACCCUUUUCACCCUGAAGUGCCCCCAAAGAGAAUUUUCAUUUAAGACUUUGUUCCUUACUGGAACAUCAUUUUUUUGCCCUAAAUCUCUGGAACUA